GACGGCAGCACGGACUUCGGUCUGGUGGGCGAGGUGGGCGAACGGGUGAGUAAGUAUCGGAACGUGCCCAGUAGCGGGGGAUAAUACGCGAAGCGUAGCUCUUACCGCAUAGCCUACGGAGGAAGCAGGGGAUCGCAGACCUUCGCACUAUUGGAGCGGCCGAUAUCGGAUUAGCUAGUUGGUGGGGUAACGGCUCACCAAGGCGACGAUCCGUAGCUGGUUGAGAGGACGACCAGCCACACUGGGGACUGAGACACGGCCCAACUCCUACGGGAGGCAGCAGUGGGGAAUUUUUGGACAAUGGGGGAAACCCUGAUCCAGCCAUCCCGCGUGUGCGAUGAAAGGCCUUUCGGGUUUGUAAAGCACUUUUGGCAGGAAAGAAACGUCGCGGGUUAAUACCCCGCGGAACUGACGGUACCUGCAGAAUAAGCACCGGCUAACUACGUGCCAGCAGCCGCGGUAAUACGUAGGGUGCAAGCGUUAAUCGGAAUUACUGGGCGUAAAGCGUGCGCAGGCGGUUCGGAAAGAAAGAUGUGAAAUCCCAGAGCUUAACUUUGGAACUGCAUUUUUAACUACGGGCUAGAGUGUGUCAGAGGGAGGUGGAAUUCGCGUGUAGCAGUGAAAUGCGUAGAUUAUGCGGAGGACACGAUGGCGAAGGCAGCUUCUGGGAU
Molecule: ribosomal RNA, 671 nt
Filed under: Achromobacter sp.
Lineage: Bacteria; Pseudomonadati; Pseudomonadota; Betaproteobacteria; Burkholderiales; Alcaligenaceae
Description: bacterial SSU rRNA
Rfam family: Bacterial small subunit ribosomal RNA
Source: RNAcentral